This 708-nucleotide transfer RNA is filed under the name uncultured bacterium. RNAcentral's name for it is "16S-23S ribosomal RNA intergenic spacer". The stretch from base 200 to 273 matches the Rfam family "tRNA". The record is from RNAcentral.
CUAAGGAUGAUCCUUCAAGGCUUUCUCACGAUGGCCUUAUCGGAUCUCUUAGAUCAUUCGGGCCGAUCAGGUGCCUUGUGCAUCGAUCAGGCCUUUGGCGGGAUAUCGCCGUCUUCGUCUCUCUUUCUUCCGCGGAUGAGUUCAGCUGCAAGGUCGUCUUGUGUCUGGUUUGCGCUUUUGGCGUGACUGGAUGGUAGACGGGCCCGUAGCUCAGUUGGUUAGAGCGCACGCCUGAUAAGCGUGAGGUCGGUAGUUCGAGUCUACCCGGGCCCACCAUCACCUGCGCUCAGCUACGCAAACCUGGUUGGUUUGGUUCGUUUGAACCAUGUCUUGACGGGGCCAUAGCUCAGCUGGGAGAGCGCCUGCUUUGCAAGCAGGAUGUCGUCGGUUCGAUCCCGUCUGGCUCCACCAAGACCUUCUUUUUGUUACCAGGUUUUGGCAGUUUUGAUGGUGGAUCGCUUGGCGAGCCACUUCCUCAUCCGCAUUAAACAGUUUUGUCACCGGGACAGCAUGCUUUGCAUGUCUGGAUUGGUCGACAUGUUAUCUGACAUCGUAAAGAGAAGAUUCAUUCCGAGUGUCCCUCAUCAGGACACGUCCCCAGAUCUGCAGGCUUGACCGCAUGCAAUCGGGAUGGAUCUCGAAGAAACUGGUUUUAACGUCAUCGAUGUUGUCCCGCGCCGAGCGGGAUGAGCAUCGAUAAUGAGAGUG